This 337-nucleotide unclassified non-coding RNA is filed under the name soil metagenome. RNAcentral describes it as "partial contains 5.8S ribosomal RNA, internal transcribed spacer 2, and large subunit ribosomal RNA". The stretch from base 1 to 120 matches the Rfam family "5.8S ribosomal RNA", at positions 35 to 154 of the family's 154-position model. The record is from RNAcentral.
GAUGAAGAACGCAGCGAAAUGCGAUAAGUAAUGUGAAUUGCAGAAUUCAGUGAAUCAUCGAAUCUUUGAACGCACAUUGCGCCCGCCAGUAUUCUGGCGGGCAUGCCUGUUCGAGCGUCAUUUCAACCAUCAAGCCCCCGGCUUGUGUUGGGGACCUGCGGCUGCCGCAGGCCCUGAAAAGCAGUGGCGGGCUCGCUGUCACACCGAGCGUAGUAGCAUACAUCUCGCUCUGGGCGUGCUGCGGGUUCCGGCCGUUAAACCACCUUCAUAACCCAAGGUUGACCUCGGAUCAGGUAGGAAGACCCGCUGAACUUAAGCAUAUUCAAUAAGCGGAGGA